AUUGAACGCUGGCGGCAGGCCUAACACAUGCAAGUCGAGCGGAUGAAGGGAGCUUGCUCCUGGAUUCAGCGGCGGACGGGUGAGUAAUGCCUAGGAAUCUGCCUGGUAGUGAGGGAUAACGUCCGGAAACGGGCGCUAAUACCGCAUACGUCCUGAGGGAGAAAGUGGGGGAUCUUCGGACCUCACGCUAUCAGAUGAGCCUAGGUCGGAUUAGCUAGUUGGUGGGGUAAAGGCCUACCAAGGCGACGAUCCGUAACUGGUCUGAGAGGAUGAUCAGUCACACUGGAACUGAGACACGGUCCAGACUCCUACGGGAGGCAGCAGUGGGGAAUAUUGGACAAUGGGCGAAAGCCUGAUCCAGCCAUGCCGCGUGUGUGAAGAAGGUCUUCGGAUUGUAAAGCACUUUAAGUUGGGAGGAAGGGCAGUAAGUUAAUACCUUGCUGCUUUGACGUUACCAACAGAAUAAGCACCGGCUAACUUCGUG
This 484-nucleotide ribosomal RNA is filed under the name uncultured bacterium. RNAcentral's name for it is "partial 16S ribosomal RNA". It matches the Rfam family "Bacterial small subunit ribosomal RNA", at positions 30 to 507 of the family's 1533-position model. The record is from RNAcentral.